This 497-nucleotide ribosomal RNA is filed under the name uncultured bacterium. RNAcentral's name for it is "partial 16S ribosomal RNA". It matches the Rfam family "Bacterial small subunit ribosomal RNA", at positions 28 to 507 of the family's 1533-position model. The record is from RNAcentral.
GAUGAACGCUGGCGGCGUGCCUAAUACAUGCAAGUCGAGCGAACAGACGAGGAGCUUGCUCCUCUGACGUUAGCGGCGGACGGGUGAGUAACACGUGGAUAACCUACCUAUAAGACUGGGAUAACUUCGGGAAACCGGAGCUAAUACCGGAUAAUAUAUUGAACCGCAUGGUUCAAUAGUGAAAGACGGUUUUGCUGGCACUUAUAGAUGGAUCCGCGCCGCAUUAGCUAGUUGGGAAGGUAACGGCUUACCAAGGCAACGAUGCGUAGCCGACCUGAGAGGGUGAUCGGCCACACUGGAACUGAGACACGGUCCAGACUCCUACGGGAGGCAGCAGUAGGGAAUCUUCCGCAAUGGGCGAAAGCCUGACGGAGCAACGCCGCGUGAGUGAUGAAGGUCUUCGGAUCGUAAAACUCUGUUAUUAGGGAAGAACAAAUGUGUAAGUAACUAUGCACGUCUUGACGGUACCUAAUCAGAAAGCCACGGCUAACUACGUG